This 465-nucleotide ribosomal RNA is filed under the name uncultured Klebsiella sp. Its description in RNAcentral is "bacterial SSU rRNA". It matches the Rfam family "Bacterial small subunit ribosomal RNA", at positions 338 to 795 of the family's 1533-position model. Lineage: Bacteria; Pseudomonadati; Pseudomonadota; Gammaproteobacteria; Enterobacterales; Enterobacteriaceae. The record is from RNAcentral.
CCUACGGGAGGCAGCAGUGGGGAAUAUUGCACAAUGGGCGCAAGCCUGAUGCAGCCAUGCCGCGUGUGUGCAGAAGGCCUUCGGGUUGUAAAGCACUUUCAGCGGGGAGGAAGGCGUUAAGGUUAAUAACCUUGUCGAUUGACGUUACCCGCAGAAGAAGCACCGGCUAACUCCGUGCCAGCAGCCGCGGUAAUACGGAGGGUGCAAGCGUUAAUCGGAAUUACUGGGCGUAAAGCGCACGCAGGCGGUCUGUCAAGUCGGAUGUGAAAUCCCCGGGCUCAACCUGGGAACUGCAUUCGAAACUGGCAGGGUAGAGUCUUGUAGAGGGGGGUAGAAGUCCAGGUGUAGCGGUGAAAUGCGUAGAGAUCUGGAGGAGUACCGGUGGCGAAGGCGGCCCCCUGGACAAAGACUGACGCUCAGGUUCGAAAGCGUGGGGAGCAAACAGGAUUAGAUACCCGAGUAGUC